This 100-nucleotide microRNA precursor is filed under the name Cercocebus atys (sooty mangabey). RNAcentral describes it as "miRNA (ENSCATG00000018957.1)". Lineage: Eukaryota; Metazoa; Chordata; Mammalia; Primates; Cercopithecidae. The record is from RNAcentral.
UGAGGCAGGGGAAUCGCUUGAACCCAGGAAGUGGAGGCUGCAGUGAGCCAAGAUCGUGCCACUGCACUCCAGCCUGGGUGACAGAGCGAGACUCUAUCUC